AUGAAACUGGACGAAAUUAAAUGUGCCUAUGAGGUUGUAGACAGUGCUGGUGCAGAGCAAGCAAGAAUUGAAAAUGAGAUGAAAGCCAAAGUCCUAAAGCUGGAAGGAAUCACACGUAGCACAAGGAGUUGACAUCAACAGUACUGAACUGAGAACAGGGAACACUAUUUAUCCACAUGACAAGACGAGGGGAUGACGAGACACACCUGGGAUCAAUAGAAAUAAACGGGGAACA
Long non-coding RNA from Cyprinus carpio (common carp), 235 nucleotides. The record is from Ensembl. Lineage: Eukaryota; Metazoa; Chordata; Actinopteri; Cypriniformes; Cyprinidae.